UCAAAAACAUGUCUUUUUGAAAAUAAUUUAAAGUCUAAUGUGCCCACUGAUAAAAUUAUUAAAGGGCUGCAGUAUAUUGACUGUACAAAGGUAGCAUAAUCAUUAGUCUUUUAAUUGAAGACUUGUAUGAAAGAUUUGAUGAAAUAUAUACUGUCUCUAAUUUAUUUAUAAAAUUUAAUUUUUUAGUUAAAAAGCUAAAAUAAUGUUAAAAGACGAGAAGACCCUAUAAAGUUUUAUAAUUUAUUUAUUUAAUAUUAAAUAUAUAAUUUAAUAUAUAUAUAUAUAUAUAUAUAUAAUAAUUAAUAUAAGUUAUUUUAUUGGGGUGAUAAAAAAAUUUAAUUAACUUUUUUUAUAAUUUUACAUAGAUAUGUGAAAUAUUGAUCCAUUAUUAGUGAUUAAAAGAAAAAAUUUCUUUAGGGAUAACAGCGUAAUAUUUUUUUUUAGUACAAAUAAAAAAAAAAGUUUGCGACCUCGAUGUGGGAUUAAAAUAAAAUUUAAAUGCAAAAGUUUAAAAUUUUGAUCUGUUCGAACAUUAAAAUCUCACAUGAUCUGAGCU
RNAcentral lists this ribosomal RNA (556 nucleotides) under Melitaea amoenula. Its description in RNAcentral is "partial 16S ribosomal RNA". The record is from RNAcentral. Lineage: Eukaryota; Metazoa; Arthropoda; Insecta; Lepidoptera; Nymphalidae.